CAGCCGCCACGGGAAUACGAAGGGGGCUAGCGUUGCUCGGAAUCACUGGGCGUAAAGGGUGCGUAGGCGGGUCUUUAAGUCAGAGGUGAAAGCCUGGAGCUCAACUCCAGAACUGCCUUUGAUACUGGAGAUCUCGAGUUCGGGAGAGGUGAGUGGAACUGCGAGUGUAGAGGUGAAAUUCGUAGAUAUUCGCAAGAACACCAGUGGCGAAGGCGGCUCACUGGCCCGAUACUGACGCUGAGGCACGAAAGCGUGGGGAGCAAACAGGAUUAGAUACCCCUGUAGUCCCUGUCUCUUAUAC
This 301-nucleotide ribosomal RNA is filed under the name uncultured bacterium. Its description in RNAcentral is "partial 16S ribosomal RNA". It matches the Rfam family "Bacterial small subunit ribosomal RNA", at positions 509 to 807 of the family's 1533-position model. The record is from RNAcentral.